Long non-coding RNA from Gigantopelta aegis, 409 nucleotides. RefSeq lists it as uncharacterized. The record is from RefSeq and is a predicted model, not a curated record. The transcript has 3 exons. Lineage: Eukaryota; Metazoa; Mollusca; Gastropoda; Neomphalida; Peltospiridae.
GUUGACGUCAUGUCAAAAAAAAUGUCGAUGUUUUUAUGGUAACGUCUUCGGCAAUUUUCAUAACCCUCCCACUGGAUUUGCGCCUGUUACGGGAUAUACAGUACAGAACUAAUGAAAAGAUUCUCACCUCAAGGCAGAUUCUUUGGAAGUAUGCAGUCAUCUUUUUACUCAAGCCAAGUGUUUCAGUCUUAUUGCUGAUUAACUCGUUGUUCCGGAACCAUGCCAAGUGUCAGGUGAGGUCUGGUCAGAGGGUUUUACAUGCACAUUCAGAGCAAGCUGUUGUAGCGCACGCCUGUCAUGGGUGCAGGUGCUGGCCUUGGCCAGCUCCUCUGUCCAGCUCCUCUGUCCAGGACAGGAAAGGAAGGAGACCCGGUACCGAGCUGCGAACUCUGUACCUACCAGCCUUAUA